GGGUAAUGACCCCAAACCUACAUGGCCCCUGGAUUGGACUGCGGCCGAUCAGGCUGUUGGUGAGGUAAUGGCCCACCAAACCUGUAACCGGUACGGGCUCUGAGAGGAGGAGCCCGGAGAUGGGCCCUGAGACAAGGGCCCAGGCCCUAUGGGGCGCAGCAGGCGCGAAACCUCUGCAAUAGGCGAAAGCUUGACAGGGUUACUCUGAGUGAUUUCCGUUAAGGAGAUCUUUUGGCACCUCUAAAAUGGUGCAGAAUAAGGGGUGGGCAAGUCUGGUGUCAGCCGCAGCGGUAAUACCAGCACCCCGAGUGGUCGGGACGUUUAUUGGGCCUAAAGCAUCCGUAGCCGGUUCUACAAGUCUUCCGUUAAAUCCACCUGCCUAACAGAUGGGCUGCGGAAGAUACUAUGGAGCUAGGAGGCGGGAGAGGCAAGCGGUACUCGAUGGGUAGGGGUAAAAUCCGUUGAUCCAUUGAAGACCACCAGUGGCGAAGGCGGCUUGCCAGAACGCGCUCGGCGGUGAGGGAUGAAAGCUGGUGGAGCAAACCGGAUUAGAUACCCGGGUAGUCCCAGCUGUAAACGAUGCAGACUCGGUG
RNAcentral lists this ribosomal RNA (593 nucleotides) under uncultured archaeon. Its description in RNAcentral is "bacterial SSU rRNA". It matches the Rfam family "Archaeal small subunit ribosomal RNA", at positions 177 to 773 of the family's 1478-position model. The record is from RNAcentral.